GAUGAACGCUGGCGGCGUGCCUAAUACAUGCAAGUCGAGCGAACGGACGAGAAGCUUGCUUCGCUGAUGUUAGCGGCGGGCGGGAGAGUAACACGUGUAUAACCUACCUAUAAGACUGGUAUAACUUCGGGAAACCGUAGCUAAUACCGGAUAAUAUUUUGAACCGCAGGGUUGAAAAGUGAGAGACGGUCUUGCUGUCACGUAUAGAUGGAUCCGCGCUGCAUUAGCUAGUUGGUAAGGUAACGGCUUACCAAGGCAACGAUGCAUAGCCGACCUGAGAGGGUGAUCGGCCACACUGGGACUGAGACACGGUCCAGACUCCUACGGGAGGCAGCAGUAGGGAAUCUUCCGCAAUGGGCGAAAGCCUGACGGAGCAACGCCGCGUGAGUGAUGACGGUCUUCGGAUCGUAAAACUCUGUUAUUAGGGAAGAACAUAUGUGUAAGUAACUGUGCACAUCUUGACGGUACCUAAUCAGAAAGCCACGGCUAACUACGUG
This 497-nucleotide ribosomal RNA is filed under the name uncultured bacterium. RNAcentral's name for it is "partial 16S ribosomal RNA". It matches the Rfam family "Bacterial small subunit ribosomal RNA", at positions 28 to 507 of the family's 1533-position model. The record is from RNAcentral.